RNAcentral lists this ribosomal RNA (465 nucleotides) under uncultured bacterium. RNAcentral's name for it is "partial 16S ribosomal RNA". It matches the Rfam family "Bacterial small subunit ribosomal RNA", at positions 28 to 507 of the family's 1533-position model. The record is from RNAcentral.
GACGAACGCUGGCGGCGUGCUUAACACAUGCAAGUCGAACGGAAAGGCCCCUUUGGGGGUACUCGAGCGGCGAACGGGUGAGUAACACGUGAGUAACCUGCCCUUGACUUCGGGAUAACUUCAGGAAACUGGGGCUAAUACCGGAUAGGAAUCCUUGCUGCAUGGUGGGGGUUGGAAAGCUUCGGCGGUUUUGGAUGGACUCGCGGCUUAUCAGCUUGUUGGUGGGGUAGUGGCUUACCAAGGCUUUGACGGGUAGCCGGCCUGAGAGGGCGACCGGCCACAUUGGGACCUAGGUAAGGCCCAGACUCCGACGGGAGGCAGCAGUGGGGAAUAUUGCACAAGGGGCGGAGGCCUGAUGCAGCAACGCCGCGGGCGGGAUGACGGCCUUCGUGUUGUAAACCGAUUUCAGCAGGGGCGAAGCUUGUGGUGACGGUACCUGCAGAAGAAGCACCGGCUAACUACGUG